GAAGGGUUUGUCAGAGCUGCGAAUGAUGAGGCUUCUCAAGUUCCAGCUGGGGGUUUCGGUGAAGAGGAUGCUUGCCGUAGGCUGAAGCUUUGGUUGCGGUGGUGCUCUUUUGAAUUACUGCGCCUGGGGCAACCGCUUUGGUUCACUGAAGGAUGGCUUGCAUGUGCAGCGGUAACUUCUGGCUUGAAGGUUGGUGGCAUUUCUCUUUCCUGGAAGCAAGUGUUAAAUUCAGUUAAAUUUAGUUUCUAUCAUGUAUGUUGGCACUGAUACUUAGGGACUAACCAGUUUUAGGCAAUGCUUGUAAAUCACUCAGAACCAUAUUUGCACGGCCCAGCUCUAUCCUGGCAAUGUUAUUUUAGUUAAGGUGCUAAGCUUAAGCUUUUAUUGCUGAUUUACAAGCUGUACUUUGCAUUGUGUCCAUUUAGAGAAAUAAAACUGUGUGUCACAA
Long non-coding RNA from Leguminivora glycinivorella, 448 nucleotides. RefSeq lists it as uncharacterized. The record is from RefSeq and is a predicted model, not a curated record. The transcript has 2 exons. Lineage: Eukaryota; Metazoa; Arthropoda; Insecta; Lepidoptera; Tortricidae.